Molecule: long non-coding RNA, 4474 nt
Filed under: Homo sapiens (human)
Lineage: Eukaryota; Metazoa; Chordata; Mammalia; Primates; Hominidae
Description: HSALNT0127005
Source: RNAcentral
AGGGUAACUUCCUGAUGUUGCCAUGGCAUUUGUAAACUGUAUGGCACUGGCGGGAGUGUCUUUAGCAUGUUAGCGCAUUAUAUAAUUAGUGUAUAAUGAGCAGUGAGACGACUGGAGGUCACUUUCAUCGCCAUCUUGGUUUUGGUGGGUUUUGGACAGCUUCUUUACGCAUGCUGUUUUAUCAGCAAGGUCUUUGUGACCUGUAUCUUGUGCCGACCUCCUAUCUCAUCCUGUGACUAGGAAUGCCUUAACCUCCUGGAAUGCAGCUCAAUCACAGUCUGGAAGUCUGCUCACAGUCUCAAGGUUGGCAUAUCCCCUAGAGCCCCCAGACUCCUCAUCCCAUGGAGACCAACAUGGCCAGGGGAGGGCCAGAGCAGGGCCUUCUAAAUCACAGACCCCAGGGCAGGAGCCCCUCCGGUCUGGAUCUAAGGAUGGUAUUUUCAACAAUUCCUAAAUUUUUAUCCUAGGCUCUCCAAAUGGGAGUCUAAAGGUCUCAAAACAUGGUCCAGAAGAAGUAUGCAAAAAUGUAAAUUCCUAGGCCCCAACCCAGACCUAUGAAUCAGAUGAUCUGUAUGGGGGUUCAAGGAAUCUAUAUUAUUAAACAAUCUUCCUAAAUGACUUGUAUUCAUACUAAAGCUUGAGAAUUGCUAUCAAACAGCUAGAAGUUGGAGUGAAGGGUCCUGCCUUUCCCAUGAAAUUCAUCAACUCUAUGCCCUCAAAAGCUGGGCUCUUGGAUGAGCUGCUCUCCAUUCUAGAGACAUUACCAGCUAGGUAGCCUGCUGGUCCUCAGGAAGUUAAGCCCAGACUCUUCAGCACAGAAUCAGAUAAACACUGAUUACAUUGUACUCUACAGUUCUGAGAACACCAUUACUUAAUUCCCGGCAAGUUGCAAUGUAAUUGAGUAGGUUGUAGUUUUUUGGGUUUGGGGUUUUUUUGUUUUUUAAAUAUAUCAGGCGUAGUUAGCCAGCUUCCUAGAAACACCAUGAUCUCUUGGUGAAAAUUCCAGAAAUAUGCAUCACUUCCUAAUUAAAGUAGGGAAUUUUUAAAAAUUAUUAAACCACAUGCUUUCUAAUUCCUAUUGCCCUUUCUUUUCACCCACCAUUCAGCAGUCAGCAGACACUUUCUGGGUACAACAGGGUAGGACCAUCCAGGCAGAACAAAAGCCAUUGAUCAUGAACUACAGAGGAGAGUUUGGUAAAUGGACACCAGAAACCAUGGCCUACAGGGGCCUGGUUUUCUCCCAUCUAAAUACUAACUAGGCCCAACGCUAGUUGGGCUUAGCUUCCUAGAUCAGAUGAAAUUGGGCACAUUUAGGGUUGGGGGUAUGGCUCUCUAUUGUAAGUAGCAAGAGUUUGAGAGAAGAAAAAAGGGAUUUUCUUUUUUUUUUCUUUUAAAUUUUAGAGCAUUAACUUUAAACAUCAAGAUCCAAACCCCAAGGAUUCAGAGAAUCUUGUACUAUAAACCAUUUGUAUUAGUCAGGGUUCUCCAGAGAAACAGAACCCAUAGGAGGUAUAGAGAUAGAGAAAUAUGGAAUUGGCUCCCAUGAUUAUGGAGGCUGAGAAGUCCCUCAAUCUGCUGUCUGUGAGCUGGAGACCUAGGAAAGCUUAGCUGGUGGUACAAACCAGCCCAAGUGCAAAGGCCCAAGAACUAAGAGCACCAUUGUCAGAGAGCAGGAAAAGACAGAUGUCCCAGCUCAAAAAGAGAGAGCAAAUUCACCUUCCUUCCACCAUUUUAUUCCGUCCUGUUCCAUUCCUCAACAGGUUGGAUGAUGAGGGAGAUCUUUAUCCAUCUCAAGUUUUUUGUGCAAAUAUGGAAUACAAAUGAAAAAUACUUAAAGCACAUCAUCAUUGAUUUCCAACUUAGACUAGUUUAACUUCCCUUUUUCUUCUAUCCUGUCAGUUCCUUGAGGGAUCCUCUCUCCUUGUUCAUCUCUGCAUCUCUAGUAAUUAGCACAGUGCCAGGCACAUGGUAAUAUGGCUAAAACAGUGGAUUAUUGGUCUCCAACAUAAUUAAGCCCAUCCAAAAGAAAAACCAACCUCAUAAAUCUGCUUUGCAAAGUUCAUAAACAAUGGAUAUGCUAUGUCUCAAAGGUGCUGGCCAAAAAAAUUUAAGAACUUGGGAAUUAUGUGUUAUUUUGUUUGUUUUUUUCACCAAGCCUACUUUUCUGUCACAAGAGCCCAUAUCAACAACACACCCAUGUAUGUCCUUCUUUUUAUCUACUUUUCUCCAUGAAGUUUGUCACCAUCAACUGUUAAAACUGUAAAGAUUUGAUCAGCUAAAUAAGUGGUCUUUGAACUAAUUCCUCUCGUACUUCCUAAAGGAACUUUGAAAAACUAUGUAUCCCCUUGCACAUUUUCAAGCAGACACCUAAGAUUUUUCAUCAUAAAUUUGAAUAACUUCAAAAUAUGUACUUAUUAGCAUAUUGUAAAUAUUGAUUUUUAAAUAAAAUAUAUCACACUUUGUAUCCAAUGAACUCUAAACACCAUAGCAAUUUGACACUUACUCUCCCACCCUCAGUCUUAAAAAUUCACCAACAACCUCUUUUUUAACAACCGAAAAAUUUGUAUUAUUCCUUUUUAAAAUUUUGAAGUUUUCUGGAUUGAAUUAUUUUUAUAAUGAUUUUUAGUAUACAACUGACCAAAGCAACAUAAAUAUAUAGCAUAUUUUGAUAAAUAAUUAUAAAACAUAGCAAGUUAUGUGUUAUUGGAAAAUUAAACUAAAUGAAUGGAUCUUUUUAAAUUAGUUCGGGUAUCUGUGGCUGUUCCUAACUGUUAAAAUGAGACAGAGUCAGCGUCAAUUCUACUCUUAUUUUUUAUUUUUUUAGACGUAAGCCCUGAGAAAACUUGUUCAAUUAAAUAAGUAAUGAGAAUGUUAGGCAUUUUCUGAUAAAAAUGUCACUCUGUUAUUUGAAUGCCUUCUUGAUUAUAAGUCAAAAAGUACAUAGUGAUCUAUUAUCAAAAACUAUUGGCCUAUCUGUUGACAACUUGGGUAGGUCCUCCUUUAAUUUUAUUGAAAGCAAAGAAUUGGAAACUACCUAAUUUACAAAAAAAAGAAGAAGAAGAAGAAGAAGAAGAAAUGUGUUACCUAAUUAUUAGAGCUCACUUUCUAAGUUUCUAGGAAGUAUGACCCAAAAAAGCUUGGCCAAGACUUAUCACAUGGCUGUUGAUUAUACCAUCACCCUUUUACUUACAGGCGUCUUGCUUAUGGACCUAAAAAAGAUGAAACUGGAGUUAGAAACAAAAACAGAAAAUUGUAAAUUGUGCAUUUGGGGACUUUUCUCCUUGACUGUGAACAGAGACCUAUAUACAAUGCCAAAUUUCAUUUUUUAAGAAUGUCUCAAAAUGCAGAGUAAAGAAAUGACAGAAGGACAGACACUUGGGGAUAUUCAUGUAUAUACUAAUAACUUCUUCCCAAAUAUGACUGAAGACAAUACACUUAGCAGAACUGAAAUCAAUAUAUUAACAUCUGAAAGGGAGAAAUUAAUCCUAAUUCAAUCAAGCCAGUUUUCUAAAGUUCAGGUCAUUGCAUAUUAGAUUUACAUUUUGGAAAAAUUUUUUUUGCUUUUGAACCAAUAGAUUUCUGCUUUUGACAGUAUAGUUUAAAUACUUUAUGUAAGUUGACAGCAAGAGAAAGAACUUAGUCACCAAUAAGUAUAGUACAAGAUUAUGGAAAGCACAUUAAGGACCUCUAAGCACAUUAGUUAGAGUAUAAUCUGCAAUAUAUUCCUGUUAAAUUACUUAAUGCUAAUUCUGUGGACUGAAUUUCAUUCCCCCAAAAUUUAUAUUUUGAAGGCUUAACCCUUAAUGUGACUAUAUUUGGAAAUAGUGCCUGUGAAGAGGUGAUAAAGGUUAAAUGAGGUCACAGGCUGGGGUCCUACUUCACUAGGACUGGUGUCCUUUAAAGAAGAGGACAAGAUGCCAGAUGCUCUCGUUCAUGUGCCCCCUUUCUCUCUCUCUCUCUCUCGCUGGUUCACUCUCUCUCUCUCUCCUCCUGCCCCCCAUGUGAGGAUAUAAGGAGAAGGCAGCCAUCUGCCAGCCAGGAAGAGAGCCCACACCAGAACUUGACCAUGCUGACACCCUAAUCUUGGAUUUCUAGCCUCCAGAGUUAUGAGAAAAUAAAUUUCUGUUAUUUAAACCACCUGGUGCAUGGUAUUUUGUUAUGGCAACACAAGCUGACUUAUAUACCUAAUAACUACAUGGCAGGAAUUAAUACAUGAACGGGAAAGUUGUUCAUGAGUGACAGUGAGCAGGAGACCUGUACCUUCAUCAGAAAUGAAUAUAGAUUUCAUAUUUUGCUAACUUUUAGCAAAAAUUAAUGAAAGUGUUUCUCCUAUAAAUCUGAGUAAAUAUUUAAGAAAAUACAAAAUACUAACUUACCUCUAAUAUGUGUUUCUUUUGUUAGAAAAUGUAGCCUUGAUAUGUUGGAAGAAACUGUAGUCUUUUCACCUUGAAGUUAUGCAAAUUACACUCCUGAG